GGCUGAUUAGCUCAGUCGUUUGAGCAUGGUGCUGACAAUGCCAAAGCCGUGGGUUCGAUUCCCAUUCGGUCC
Molecule: transfer RNA, 72 nt
Filed under: Apaloderma vittatum (bar-tailed trogon)
Lineage: Eukaryota; Metazoa; Chordata; Aves; Trogoniformes; Trogonidae
Rfam family: tRNA
About the family: Transfer RNA (tRNA) molecules are approximately 80 nucleotides in length.
Source: Rfam by way of RNAcentral